CAGAGAAAAAGAUUGGUAAAGUGAAAAUGUUCUUUGUUUCGGAAAGGAUCGUCUCCUAUGGGAUCCAGAAUUUUACGAACCUGAAGAAAUACCACAUCGAAUGUUAGCAACACAUAGCCGUUACAUUUACGAAAUGCUUCAUGUAUGGAAAUGGGAACCUCAUUGCAGUAGGAAUAACAGGGCUCCAUCUAUGCCACGUCUCCACCCACCAUGUCAGAGAAUGAUCUUCUGGCAUUCAACUAAGCGGGUCUAGUAAAGACUCACUAAAUGGAAUGCUGAGGGUGUGCCCAGUCGUCGCUGGUACACAUCGAUUCGCGAGGAGUAAGAAGAAGGAGAUGGAACUGAGUUGAACCAAAGUAGCAGGGCUCCCACUCUUGUGUUUCUUUCAUCAUCCUGCUGAGGGCCAUAUUCCUUCUUACAUGAAUCAUGUGGAAAGCUUGAUCAUUCUGGCAUUGCUACUGGCAUCCAGGAAAAAGAGGUAACUUACCAUCUGUUAUUUGUAAUGUAGCUCUACUGUAUUACUGCAAAUCUUUUCCUCUGCCAGCAGAGGAGCAGCCAGGUUUGGCUUUUUCUUUUGCCUUUGCUACUGGAGCUCCUGUAUUAGCCUAUAGCAGUUGGGCUGAAAUCUCUGCCUAAAAGUUGCUCAACGCACUUUCCACUGUAACGUGUCCUCUGCCAAAUUUCUGAAGAAUGGGAGUGUCUUUCACUGAAGAGAUGUGAAACUCAAGCCUUACAAUUUAGAAACACGGAUUCACAAAGUACAAAUAUUAGAUGAACAAAGUUUAGACAAAAACACCAAUUUAAACUAGAAUAAGAAACUUAAACACACUGAAACUAUAGAAAACAUUACUGUCUCCAUGUCACCUAGUAAUUUGAAUUUGGCUGUAUCUCACUGACCAAACUCCUGAUGAGGACACAUGCGGACAAAAUGAGAGAGGUUCCCAUAAUACGCUUUCCAAAAUGGCUAAGAAAAUUCAAUUACAUUUAGUUAAUUUUUCUAGACUUCAUUAAUUAACCUUGUAAAUUUCUCUAGCUUUCCUCUCAGCUCCACUAACCCAUUUGCCUCACUAUUCCCUCCUCACAUACUUGCUUCACUGGCCCAUCUCCCACACAAUUUAUUCUCACAUUAUCUGAUACCUCCUUUGUUUCUUGCUCCUUUCCUUCUUUAUAUCACCUAAAUUCUAAGGCCAGGCUUCUUGAAAAAUUUUGUUCCCACAAGCACUGAGUGUUUGAGUGUUUUUUUUCCUCCCAAUAUCUUUCCAAAUUAAACAAUUCAAUUUUGGAAAAGCCAGUAAGAGGCAAAGAACCAACAAACCUAUUAGUGGGAAACAUGGAUCUCACACAGCCCAGGACAAGACUGGAGGGGUAAAGAAAAUUCUUCCAUUUCCCACAACACAUCCUCGGAGUCUAGUAAUUUAUCUCAGUCCUUACUAUUCUUUUAACAAACCACUUCUUUGCAUUUAAUAAGGACCUUUAAGGGAUAUUCAUUCACAUCUCUGCAAAUGGCCAUUGGCCCACUUGGCUACCGUGUGUCUGCUCCCAUCACUGUUUUAGAAGAACUGUGCUUUUUAAAAGACACUCAACUCUUUUAUUUUGCAUAAAUCAGCGGCAUCUCAAAACCUAUCACAGAGAUCUCUGGGAAGGAAGUGCAAGAGCCAGCCAGCCACCUUGAGAUUUGAGCCAUAGUGCCUUGCAGUUCUCAUUCACCUCUCCGAGGCCUCACCCACAAC
Molecule: long non-coding RNA, 1730 nt
Organism: Pelodiscus sinensis (Chinese soft-shelled turtle)
Lineage: Eukaryota; Metazoa; Chordata; Testudines; Trionychidae
Source: RefSeq, a predicted model, not a curated record